Solanum pennellii is the source of this 3638-nucleotide long non-coding RNA. RefSeq lists it as uncharacterized. The transcript has 8 exons. The record is from RefSeq and is a predicted model, not a curated record. Lineage: Eukaryota; Viridiplantae; Streptophyta; Magnoliopsida; Solanales; Solanaceae.
UCCAAUUAAUCUCCUCCUUCUACUAUAUUAUUCGCGUACCCAUUUUACCUAUAAAUUCUCUUUUACUAUCAUUUUUAAUGAAUUUAUUCAUCCUGAAUUUUUGCAAUAUCAAUUCAUGUGAUAUUUUCUUUUUCUUUUUAAACAAAGGUGAUUCUAUUGGAAUAUAUACUGCAAUGAUGGUUCCAUAGAGGAUCAUUUUAUUUAAAAAGAAGUUCAAUACAAUACAAAGGUAUGUUAUAUGAAGCAAGAUCCUCUGAGGUGAAACGAAAAAAUAUCCCAAAAUCUAUUAGGGACAGCUGGAAGCCUCUCUACGAUACUAACGAUUUUAAAGAUAAAUCUACAAAAUGUUCAAAUAAUCGAGAAUUGAGAAGUGUGGUGAAGGAUCUGGUCCCUCACGCCGUAUUGGAGGCUCCCGGACUCACCGAGAACAUGCAAGACAAAUGGCAAUUGUACUUGGACGGCUACCUCAUCCACACAAACUUUUGAAAAGGACACAUACAAAAGGAAACGAUGAGUUUGUGGAUCUGAAGUCUAAGAGCACAUAUAUGAAUCUGGUGAGUCUCCGACAAUUGAUUUUUCAAUGAUUCACAUAUAUGAAGUUAGUGGGGUUCAGAAGGCAUGUAUAUAUGGUGUUGGUUCUCAUAAGCAACUUUCUAUGAGAACAUUGACUCAUCAUCUGCUUCAACAUCUCAACCUCAAGAUUGUGAUUUUGAUGCUUGAGUUGAGGAAUACGUUAAAUAAAUGAAGGAGGAGAUGGGAAAAGAGAUAAGACCUGAAUUACAUGAAUAAAUGAAACUUGAAAUGCAGCUAUAAAUGAAAGAGCAUGUUGAUAAGAUUCUCCAAGAACGUCUGUCUAUCCUCAUAGUUGGCCUACCUAAUCCAUCCCCUGACACGUAUUUGUUUUUACCUUUGUGGGCAACAACUGGUCUCCACAUUCUUUUUCACUUAAACCCCAAAUACUCUUCUUCCAACUUCUCUCUUAUUCCCUCACUAGGUCGUAUCUUUUCUCUCCGACAAUGAAUUCUUCCGUCUCUCCAAUUUUAUAUUGAUAAUGGAUAUAAAUCAACUUUUUGGUUAUGUUUUGAAGUUGAUGGAGGAUGUGAUGAGAGUACUUCGCUCCGUAUAAGGGUAUUUUUCAGGAGACUCAGAUUAUGAAAUGGCUAUUCAAAGUUACUGCGUGGCUUCUAUCUUAUUGAGAACUACUAGACUAUAUUAGUAAGUAAUAUGUCGUUUAAUUGAACCGAGAAUUUUGGUUUAAUUGGUACUAAUCAUUUUAAUAAAUUAUUUUCGUCUUGUGUACCUUUUCCGCUCAUAUUUGGGGUUUGUGAGUAUAUUUAUUGCCCAACUCCAUUUGAUUUUUCUAUGAAUUUAUGAAAAGGUUAAUAUAUAUGAAACGUGUAAUUCGUCUUUCAUUUAGCACUUUUUUCUAUUGGGUUUUCAAUUUUAAAAAUUGAUGAUUGCCUGCAUUCUACUAUGCUAUUUUGGGAUUUGUUGGGAAGUAAAGCUAAAAAGGUUCGAGCCUCUUAUUUUGAUUUCUCUAAUCGAGAUCCUGAUGCAUAUAAAUACAAGUGGUCCAAUGGGAGCAAGAGUUUCCAAGAAAAUUUGGAAUCUUUGGACUAUUAAUUUGCAGGUUACUAAAAUAUAUCAACAAGUCUUAUUUUCUCUAUCUUUUUUUUGCACAAAUUUCCUUGAAUUUAGAGUCUGUAACUUAAAGAUAUUUGUGUUUAUCACUUUAAAUCAGUGUAUAUUUUGCUUAUAAUCACAUAAUAUUUUGUUCUUCUGUUAAUUUCUUUCACAUACUUGAUCUACCUAAAAUAAAAAGUAUUUUGUGUUGCACAUGAGCUUUUGCUUUGAGUAGCAAGGUAAAUAUAUGUCUGUGUCAAACAUUAAUGUGCAAAGAUAGAGAUAGUUGUGAGAUACUCUAGAUGAUCUUUAUGUUUUGGUGACAAUGAACUGAAAGGGUUCCCUAGGAAUAGGUUACGUUAAUAAGACUUUUCUUACUUUACUAUCAAGUAUCAACAACUCUGGACGAAAAAUAAAAUGUCAAUUAACUUGGAAACUAUGUGCAAGUAAAAAAUAACUUGUUGACCGAACACAUGUAAAACUAUGAAUACCAAAUUAAGAAAUCACAAAAAUUGAGGUGUGCAAAAAGAAAUAAAUGUGAUGCUGAAGAUGUAAACGACAAAAGACAAUCUUCUUUAAGUGGUAAAACCUUUAGUUUCAUGGACUCUUCACUUUUGAUGCCGCACCCGUAUCGAAUUUUUCAAAAAUACACUAUUUUUGACGAAUCCAACACGCACCCGUUGACAUUUUGAAGAGUCCGAGCAACAUAGGUAAACCCUAAGCAUAAGUGAAAGUGGAUGCUUUUGUUACUUCAUACUAUUUUUAUGAGAUUAUGAAAUGAAUAGUGAAAAUAUAUUACUAUAAUACUAUUUAAUUGUACUGUGUGGAAGAUUGCAUCAAUUGAAGAAGAUUAUACAACAUCAAUUCUCAUGCUACAAGAUAGCUCGUCCAAUUGUCAUAUUUCUAAAGACCGUGUUACAAAAUUGGCUGAACAAACAACACCUAAUUUCAAUAGCAACUUCACGUCACUGCCAAGGGAAGAACUUGAAUAGUAUGUGAUGUUGUUGUGCUACUGCCCAAGUGAUGAAGGUCUGAUGGCAUGGCUUUGUGCAAUAUUAAUAUGAUCACAUGGAUCAUUCAUAUUUUCGUCUCUUACGUCCUGAAGAAUUGCCUCUGAUGAAAUCGCCCUGUAUGUUUCAAUGCAACAACAGUCGAAUUAUUACAUUCUUACUUAUAAAAGAACUGCAAACAUAAGAUGGAAGCAGGGCAAUAAGUUUAUGUACCUCAUUAUUAGUAUUUUGUACAAUGUCUUCAACAAAGGACAAAGUUCAACAGGAGCUACAUGUUUGUUUAUAAUUUUCAUCAAGAUGCAAAACAUUUAAACUGGACAGACUGAGAAGCUCAUAGAAAGCUUUUAUUGCUGAAACUCCCUGCACAAAUUCAUACAGGUUUUAAGUUGCUCAGCCUCUUCGCAAUCAAAAAGAGAAAGUAAGACUUGAAAAGGACAUGAUGAUUUUAGAAUCAUACAUCUAUUUGAAUAAUAGAAGCAACUACAAUUCUCAAGGGAAUGGUGAAAUAUGCGUGCGCAAGGUUUUUAAAGCCUAAUUACAUAAUUCUAUGAAAGAUGAACCUGAAACAAAAACUUUUGCGGAUAAUACUGUUCAUAAAGAGGGGACAAAAUGAAUAAAUUAUAUCAAAAGGUGUUAACAUUUGUCUAUGCAAUGGAGCUCGUUUCUUUGUGUUACUCACAAUAUUAACAAAUUUUAUGUGAACGCUUAUCUUUAAUGCAAUAUUUCAUUAUUACCAAUGAAACCAACAAUUGGAUUUCAUAUUGUUGAAACUUUUGCCUGUAGGUAAUAGAAUGCAAUUAAAUAAUUGUAUACCUGUAAUGUUGGGUGAAGGUCUUUGCAUUGAUGCGAAGAUUUUAGAAUGUUUAACUGAUGAAACUUUUUAGAUUUACUUAGGCGUGUUACUAUUUUUAUAGAAUGCACAUCACUAAUGAUCAUCCUGAUUCUAGAAAAGUAGUUAUGAUCAUCACCUUUUCUGAAUGUAAAUUAGAACAAUACCAGCAACAA